AUACAGAGGGUGCGAGCGUUAAUCGGAUUUACUGGGCGUAAAGCGCGCGUAGGUGGUUAAUUAAGUCAAAUGUGAAAUCCCCGAGCUUAACUUGGGAAUUGCAUUCGAUACUGGUUAGCUAGAGUAUGGGAGAGGAUGGUAGAAUUCCAGGUGUAGCGGUGAAAUGCGUAGAGAUCUGGAGGAAUACCGAUGGCGAAGGCAGCCAUCUGGCCUAAUACUGACACUGAGGUGCGAAAGCAUGGGGAGCAAACAGGAUUAGAUACCCUGGUAGUCCAUGCCGUAAACGAUGUCUACUAGCCGUUGGGGGAUUUGAUCCUUUAGUGGCACAGCUAACGCGAUAAGUAGACCGCCUGGGGAGUACGGUCGCAAGACUAAAACUCAAAUGAAUUGGCGGGG
Molecule: ribosomal RNA, 396 nt
Filed under: uncultured bacterium
Lineage: Bacteria
Description: partial 16S ribosomal RNA
Rfam family: Bacterial small subunit ribosomal RNA
Source: RNAcentral